Molecule: transfer RNA, 73 nt
Filed under: Lepisosteus oculatus (spotted gar)
Lineage: Eukaryota; Metazoa; Chordata; Actinopteri; Semionotiformes; Lepisosteidae
Rfam family: tRNA
About the family: Transfer RNA (tRNA) molecules are approximately 80 nucleotides in length. Their secondary structure includes four short double-helical elements and three loops (D, anti-codon, and T loops).
Source: Rfam by way of RNAcentral
CCCUGACUAGCCUUGUUGGUAGAGCAUGAGACUCAUAAUCACAGGAUAGUGGGUUUGUGUCCCAUGUUGGGUG